UGAGCCUUGAUGUGUAGGAUAGGUGGGAGGCUUUGAAGUGUGGACGCCAGUCUGCAUGGAGCCGACCUUGAAAUACCACCCUUUAAUGUUUGAUGUUCUAACGUGGACCCGUGAUCCGGGUUGCGGACAGUGUCUGGUGGGUAGUUUGACUGGGGCGGUCUCCUCCUAAAGAGUAACGGAGGAGCACGAAGGUUGGCUAAUCCUGGUCGGACAUCAGGAGGUUAGUGCAAUGGCAUAAGCCAGCUUGACUGCGAGCGUGACGGCGCGAGCAGGUGCGAAAGCAGGUCAUAGUGAUCCGGUGGUUCUGAAUGGAAGGGCCAUCGCUCAACGGAUAAAAGGUACUCCGGGGAUAACAGGCUGAUACCGCCCAAGAGUUCAUAUCGACGGCGGUGUUUGGCACCUCGAUGUCGGCUCAUCACAUCCUGGGGCUGAAGUAGGUCCCAAGGGUAUGGCUGUUCGCCAUUUAAAGUGGUACGCGAGCUGGGUUUAGAACGUCGUGAGACAGUUCGGUCCCUAUCUGCCGUGGGCGCUGGAGAACUGAGGGGGGCUGCUCCUAGUACGAGAGGACCGGAGUGGACGCAUCACUGGUGUUCGGGUUGUCAUGCCAAUGGCACUGCCCGGUAGCUAAAUGCGGAAGAGAUAAGUGCUGAAAGCAUCUAAGCACGAAACUUGCCCCGA
Molecule: ribosomal RNA, 678 nt
Filed under: Salmonella enterica subsp. enterica serovar Oranienburg
Lineage: Bacteria; Pseudomonadati; Pseudomonadota; Gammaproteobacteria; Enterobacterales; Enterobacteriaceae
Description: partial 23S ribosomal RNA
Rfam family: Bacterial large subunit ribosomal RNA
Source: RNAcentral